Transfer RNA from Felis catus (domestic cat), 73 nucleotides. It matches the Rfam family "tRNA". Rfam says of the family: Transfer RNA (tRNA) molecules are approximately 80 nucleotides in length. Their secondary structure includes four short double-helical elements and three loops (D, anti-codon, and T loops). NCBI's taxonomy places the organism in Eukaryota, Metazoa, Chordata, Mammalia, Carnivora, Felidae. The record is from Rfam.
GCCUGACUGGCUCAGUUGGUAAAGCAUGAGGCUCUGAAUCUCAGGGUCCUGAGUUCGAGCCCCACAUUGGGUA